This is a microRNA precursor of Homo sapiens (human), 54 nucleotides long. Lineage: Eukaryota; Metazoa; Chordata; Mammalia; Primates; Hominidae. The record is from Ensembl.
ACUGUUUCUGUCCUUGUUCUUGUUGUUAUUACUGGACUUGGAGUCAGAAACAGG